UGGGGAAUAUUGCACAAUGGGCGGAAGCCUGAUGCAGCGACGCCGCGUGAGGGAUGACGGCCUUCGGGUUGUAAACCUCUUUCAGCAGGGACGAAGCGCAAGUGACGGUACCUGCAGAAGAAGCGCCGGCCAACUACGUGCCAGCAGCCGCGGUAAGACGUAGGGCGCGAGCGUUGUCCGGAUUUAUUGGGCGUAAAGAGCUCGUAGGCGGCUUGUCGCGUCGACCGUGAAAACUCGCAGCUCAACUGCGAGCCUGCGGUCGAUACGGGCAGGCUAGAGUUCGGUAGGGGAGACUGGAAUUCCUGGUGUAGCGGUGAAAUGCGCAGAUAUCAGGAGGAACACCGAUGGCGAAGGCAGGUCUCUGGGCCGAUACUGACGCUGAGGAGCGAAAGCGUGGGGAGCGAACA
Molecule: ribosomal RNA, 407 nt
Filed under: uncultured Actinoplanes sp.
Lineage: Bacteria; Bacillati; Actinomycetota; Actinomycetes; Micromonosporales; Micromonosporaceae
Description: bacterial SSU rRNA
Rfam family: Bacterial small subunit ribosomal RNA
Source: RNAcentral